GCUCCACCUCAUUACACAAGGGUUUCCAUUUCUGGACAUAGAUCAACCCCUCUUCCCACUCGAAAGCUGCAAAUCCCCUGUCAACUCCAUCUCCGACGCUUAGUAUUGCCUUCUUAUUUGCAAAUGGCUCCAAGGUUACCUCCGAAUCUAUCUGCAAGUUAUACACUACCACUCUCAGUAGCUUCCUCCAGUCUUGAACAUCCUUACUGGCGGAAACCACCAUUUUCUUCUCCCAAUCCUCCACUUCAGCCUCAACCCACACUUUCAGUCCCCUGUUUGGAAACAUUACUGCCUUGCCGCAACUGGUUGAUUUUUGUUUCAAUGCCUGGAACGAUGACUCAGCGGUACCCAUCUUGUUGCUCUGUUCUUGUUCUUGUUCCACUUGCAGGUGAUUAGCCGCAGACCAGGAACUUCUGCAACUCCAUCGCAAAUGACUUCCAUCCUUGACCUUGUUUCCCUUCCGGUAUACAUACCAUUUGGUUUCGGUCACCGAAAUGUUGUAUGAUGGUAAUGAACCACCCUUUUUUAUUCCAUCUGAGUUCCACUUUAUAUUUUUUCUUUUCCAACUCCAGUACAUUCCUCCACCCUACGGUUUUCGUGGACUGAAGUGCUCCAUCGAUGAAGCCUUUCAACCAGUGAACAGCUUCCUCAAGAAGGAUUAAUGUCGCCCUUCUACCUUCUCUUACCUCCAGCAAAUUCUUACUUUAUGAUUUUCCGCCUUCCAUAAGGAACCUUUUCGCUUCGAUAUCCAACCCAGCCCUCCAUCUAUUCACCACCUGAAACUCCUUUUCGUUUUCUCCUCCCAUUUGAAGAGGACACAUGAAAGCCAAAUAUUAUCCUCCACUGGGUUCCUAGAGAUUUAGGUGUUCAGUAUCUUGGUUACUGUGUUCCAAUGGGUUCUGGAAGACACCAAAGGUAAUAUCACAAUAUGCAUUCCUUUGGGCAUAAGAGAACCAAAAUCUCCCUCUGCUGCAUUAAUGCAUCUCAGAGGUUUCUGGAUUUCAUAACCUCAGCUACAUUAAUGCCUCCAACUUCAAGCUUCAACUUUCUACUCUUCUUCAAGCUACUUACAGGGGUCUGCCCAUUCUUCUUCAGACUCUCUUUUAUAUCGGAAGACCGUACACGGAUCUGCUUUCUGUGAAAUCCAACGGCACAAAACCUGCAGCUACAGAUACAAGCAAGCUGCAAAAUUGUGGAGCAUAUUUGAUUGGUAUGUGCAAACAUUGUUCAAGGACCCAAAGGUUGACAAGUCAGACAUUUCUAUUAGAACUAUGAUUCUUGUAUUCCUCCAAGGACUCAAGUUGAUGACUUUCUUGGGCUCUCACAGUAGUGAUGGAAGGUGAAGAAGCCUCCAGCUGUUCCCUGGGCUUUUCAUCAUUAUGUUGGAGAAUUUAGAUCUUUGAUUUCCAUGAUGAACAUCUUAUUUAGACGCAUCCCAGAAUCAACCAACUUCACAGUAGAUUCUCCAGCUAAGGGAGGGAUUGGGAGGAGAGAUCUAUAUGGGGGAACUAUCUAUCUGGAUGCUAUUGUUAUUUGGUCUGGCUUUGCAAGGAUUUUUUAUCCUUCUUUUAUUUCCUUCAAUUUACUCAUGUCAGACAUUUACACUCUCCUCUUUCUGCUUUUUAAUACAGUUUUCUGCUAUGGAUCAGAAAAAAGGAGACACUAGUGUUAGAAAAAAGUGAUCCUGGGGGCCAAUGAUAUAAAGUUAUACCAUGGAGGAUUAUGGUGAUGAAUCCACGACUAUUAACUACAAAUCCAUGCAAGGUAUGAAGAGUCAUGAGUCCAGAUGUAUUUCAUAUGCUGGAAAAGUUAACUAGCCAAUACACAGAUGUAAUUGUGUCAUAAAUUCAAAUUUAUUCGGUCAACGACUGUUUAGCAAGUUGUCCUUCUCUUCCAAGUUAUUCAAAAAGUAGUGUUGUAUAUUCUUACUUUUUAUUAUCAAUGAAAUUCACUGUUAAUGAUCAAAAUAAACGUGACCAUAUUCAGAAUAGUGGAAUUUUCAAGGACUGGAAAACAACCAUCAUGAUUGAAAUGAAAACAAGGCAAAAUACAAUGGAAAACCACUAUUUAUUUGUAACGAGUUGGGCAAUAAAAGUUGAUUUUCUUUUUUGAAAAUUGAGUAUUGAACAUCCAAAUCUUCCAGAAGUGUAUGUAUGGGAAA
Non-coding RNA from Nelumbo nucifera (sacred lotus), 2161 nucleotides. Lineage: Eukaryota; Viridiplantae; Streptophyta; Magnoliopsida; Proteales; Nelumbonaceae. The record is from RefSeq and is a predicted model, not a curated record.